GGGGGCGACAUGGUUUCGACGUGGGUUACAAACCUCUGGGUGCAUGCCGAGGUGCAGAUCACCUCGUAACUCCAUCUGCAAACCUUAUAGUUGCCAACGACGACAACUACGCUCUC
RNAcentral lists this transfer-messenger RNA (116 nucleotides) under Chromatiales bacterium. RNAcentral describes it as "partial transfer-messenger RNA". It matches the Rfam family "transfer-messenger RNA", at positions 1 to 119 of the family's 374-position model. Rfam says of the family: Bacterial tmRNA, also known as 10Sa RNA or SsrA, is named for its dual tRNA and mRNA-like properties. Its role is to liberate the mRNA from a stalled ribosome. The record is from RNAcentral. Lineage: Bacteria; Pseudomonadati; Pseudomonadota; Gammaproteobacteria; Chromatiales.